UUUAGAUGACGAAUUAUUGCACUGGGCACUGAAAUUGCAUGAGUGACAACGCAUUUAAGGUGGGCCUCAGAAACCCUCCGUGACUGAUAAA
RNAcentral lists this small nucleolar RNA (91 nucleotides) under Yamadazyma tenuis ATCC 10573. The record is from RNAcentral. Lineage: Eukaryota; Fungi; Ascomycota; Pichiomycetes; Serinales; Debaryomycetaceae.